UUAGAUCUUUCGGGAUCUAGAGAGCGGCGCACGGGUGCGGAACACGUGNUGCAACCUACCUUUAUCAGGGGGAUAGCCUUUCGAAAGGAAGAUUAAUACCCCAUAAUAUAUUAGAUGGCAUCAUUAGAUAUUGAAAACUCCGGUGGAUAGAGAUGGGCACGCGCAAGAUUAGAUAGUUGGUGAGGUAACGGCUCACCAAGUCAAUGAUCUUUAGGGGGCCUGAGAGGGUGAUCCCCCACACUGGUACUGAGACACGGACCAGACUCCUACGGGAGGCAGCAGUGAGGAAUAUUGGACAAUGGGUGAGAGCCUGAUCCAGCCAUCCCGCGUGAAGGAUGACGGCCCUAUGGGUUGUAAACUUCUUUUGUAUAGGGAUAAACCUACCCUCGUGAGGGUAGCUGAAGGUACUAUACGAAUAAGCACCGGCUAACUCCGUGCCAGCAGCCGCGGUAAUACGGAGGGUGCAAGCGUUAUCCGGAUUUAUUGGGUUUAAAGGGUCCGUANGCGGACUCGUAAGUCAGUGGUGAAAUCUCAUANCUUAACUAUGAAACUGCCAUUGAUACUGCGGGUCUUGAGUAAGGUAGAGGUAGCUGGAAUAAGUAGUGUAGCGGUGAAAUGCCUAGAUAUUACUUAGAACACCAAUUGCGAAGGCGGGUUACCAUGUCUUAACUGA
This 673-nucleotide ribosomal RNA is filed under the name Bacterium PE_IPFFB6. RNAcentral describes it as "bacterial SSU rRNA". It matches the Rfam family "Bacterial small subunit ribosomal RNA", at positions 71 to 743 of the family's 1533-position model. The record is from RNAcentral.